AGAGUUUGAUCCUGGCUCAGGACUAACGCUGGCGGCGUGCUUAACACAUGCAAGUAGAACGGUCCAGCACAUAAAGCAAUUUAUGUGCUGGAUAGUUGCGGACGGGUGAGUAACGCGUGAGCAAUCUGCCUUUGUGAGGGGGACAACACCGGGAAACCGGUGCUAAUACCGCAUGAGACCACGACUCUGAGUGGAGUUGAGGUAAAAGAUUUAUCGCACAAAGAUGAGCUCGCGUCCCAUUAGAUAGUUGGCGGGGUAACGGCCCACCAAGUCGACGAUGGGUAGCCGACCUGAGAGGGUGAUCGGCCACACUGGAACUGAGACACGGUCCAGACUCCUACGGGAGGCAGCAGUGGGGAAUAUUGGGCAAUGGGCGCAAGCCUGACCCAGCAACGCCGCGUGAGGGAAGAAGGUCUUCGGAUUGUAAACCUCUGUCCUUGGGGACGAAAAAAAUGACGGUACCCAAGGAGGAAGCUCCGGCUAACUACGUGCCAGCAGCCGCGGUAAUACGUAGGGAGCGAGCGUUGUCCGGAAUUACUGGGCGUAAAGGGUGCGUAGGCGGCGAUGCAAGUCAGAUGUGAAAUCCCCGGGCUUAACUCGGGGGGUGCAUUUGAAACUGCAUGGCUUGAGUGCAGGAGAGGAAAGCGGAAUUCCUAGUGUAGCGGUGAAAUGCGUAGAUAUUAGGAAGAACACCAGUGGCGAAGGCGGCUUUCUGGACUGUAACUGACGCUGAGGCACGAAAGCGUGGGGAGCAAACAGGAUUAGAUACCCUGGUAGUCCACGCUGUAAACGAUGGAUACUAGGUGUGGAGGACAUACAACCUCUGUGCCGAAGCAAACGCAUUAAGUAUCCCGCCUGGGGAGUACGGUCGCAAGACUGAAACUCAAAGGAAUUGACGGGGACCCGCACAAGCAGCGGAGCAUGUGGUUUAAUUCGAAGCAACGCGAAGAACCUUACCAAGGCUUGACAUCCUCUGACCGCCAUAGAGAUAUGGCUUCCCUUCGGGGCAGAGAGACAGGUGGUGCAUGGUUGUCGUCAGCUCGUGUCGUGAGAUGUUGGGUUAAGUCCCAUAACGAGCGCAACCCUUAUCAUUAGUUGCCAGCACUUUAAGGUGGGAACUCUAAUGAGACUGCCGGGGAUAACUCGGAGGAAGGUGGGGACGACGUCAAAUCAUCAUGCCCCUUAUGUCUUGGGCUACACACGUGCUACAAUGGCCGGUACAAAGAGCUGCGAAGCCGCAAGGCGGAGCGAAUCUCAUAAAACCGGUCCCAGUUCGGAUCGUGGGCUGCAACCCGCCCACGUGAAGCCGGAGUUGCUAGUAAUCGCGAAUCAGCAUGUCGCGGUGAAUGCGUUCCCGGGUCUUGUACACACCGCCCGUCACACCACGGAAGUUGGGAGCGCCCGAAGCCAGUGAGCUAACCCAGCACAUAACUUUUUCGGCAAUAUGAAAAAUGAUUGCCAAAUGAGGAGAAAGUUAUGUGCUGGGGGGCAGCUGUCGAAGGCGAGAUCAAUGACUGGGGUGAAGUCGUAACAAGGUAACCA
This 1542-nucleotide ribosomal RNA is filed under the name uncultured bacterium. Its description in RNAcentral is "bacterial SSU rRNA". It matches the Rfam family "Bacterial small subunit ribosomal RNA". The record is from RNAcentral.